GGUUACGGCGGGCCAAGCCGAAGAUCCGUAGCGGUCCCGAGAGGGUUUUCCGCCACAGGGGGACUGAAAAAGGCCCCAACUUAAUUUUAAAGGCAGCAGUGGGGAAUCUUGGACUAUUAGCGUGAGCUAGAUCCAGCUUUACCUUGAGGGUCAUCUCACUUAACAGUGAAAACUUACAUCCGAAGUUUCUACCUUUUAGUACGGGCUUCCGUCCAGGAGGGGGGUCACCUCUUUCUCAGGUAGAAAGUUCGUUCGGGGUUUUUCAAAAGAAAACCCCGUCGGGUGGGAAGUGCCGGUUACGGUCUUUUGACCCCGGGAGAAACACCCGCAAAGUCCCGGCCAAAUUCGUGCCAGCAGCCGCGGUAACACGGAAGGGGCGAGCGUUACUCGUACGUAUUGGGCGUAAGGCGUCCGUAGGUGGUGCAAACUUUUUUCUUGAAGUAAAGAUAAUUUCGGUCUUUAUUAAGUACACCCGAGUUUCUUCGAAGUUUAAGGUACCCUUGAUGGAGGGGUGGAAUCCAAAAAGAUCAAUGGGGACCUCCCACGGCGAAGGCAUUAUCACUAGAAGAUUCUAACACUGAGGGACUAAAGCGUGGGGAGCAAACAGGAUUAGAUACCCUGGUAGUCCACGCCCUCAACCAUGAAAAUACAACUAUUUUAAGUUUACCCUAACGGCUUAAAUUUUCCGCCUGAGUAGUACGGUUGCAAAACUGAAAUUCAAAGAGAUUGACGGAGGUCACCAAAAGAGGUGGAACAUGUGGUUUAAUCCGAUACAACGCGUAGCACCUUACCGAAUUCGGUCGACAACACCGGGUUCCCCCCGACUGGGGGCGACCCGAACGCAGGUACUGCAUGGCUGUCGUCAGUUCGUGCCGUAAGGUGUUUGGUUUAUUCCUUUCAACGAACGCAAUCCUUGUCUUGUACUUUAACGUACAGAGUUGAAUUUCGGUUUUCCCGAUUUUCUAGUGAGGAGUACGUCAAGUCGUCAUGGUCCUUAUCCGUCGGGCUACACACGUGUUACAAGGUUUUUUAUCCAAAGGAAAGCGCCGGUGUAAACCUUAGCUAAUUCCUAAAGCUUAACCUAGUUCAAAAAGAGGUCUGCAAACGACCCCCCGAAGCCGGAAUCUCUAGUAAUCGGGGAUCAGCACGCCCCGGUGAAGAAACUCCGACCUAGUACACACCGCCCGUCACACCAUGGGAGU
RNAcentral lists this ribosomal RNA (1202 nucleotides) under Hymenobacter sp. Its description in RNAcentral is "partial 16S ribosomal RNA". It matches the Rfam family "Bacterial small subunit ribosomal RNA", at positions 256 to 1411 of the family's 1533-position model. The record is from RNAcentral. Lineage: Bacteria; Pseudomonadati; Bacteroidota; Cytophagia; Cytophagales; Hymenobacteraceae.